CACAGCAGACCCCUUUUCUAACUCCUCUGUUCCAUUUCCCAGCUCCAGUCUUUUUCAUAACAUGUGUUCAUCCCCAGGGAACUGUUCUCUUUAGUCUCUAUGAUACUCAGGUUUUACCUGUGCCCCCUUUAUCCUUGAAACCAGUGACAGGCCCCACCAAUUCCUCUGUCUGGGAAGUCUGACAUACUUCCUGGAAGUUUUGCUUCCACCCAGACAUUCCUACUCUGAGUUACAUGUGUCCAUGAUCCACUUAUCUCAGAAUAUGUUUGCCUUAAGUCAGAUGGAGAGGUGUAAGUUCUUUUGCAAAUUACUUACAUUUGUGAAUGUUGAAGAGGCUCAGACUCACAAGCUGGAGAAGACCUGCCUCCAGUGUGCCACUGAGUAAAGCUUACCUUGGAGAAAGAACCAGCUCUCUCACAGCCUAGGAGCUUCUCCUCCCUGCCAGCACAAAGAGAACCUGAAGAGGGACAGUAUGACUCAGGAACAGUGCACUGCAGAACGCUGGUAAGCAAGCACAAAACAAGACAAGACAAAGGACAGCUCCAGCCUGGGUCUGAACAGCCAAAAUACCUGGAGACCAUAGAGGUUCUACAAGGAAAAUCAAAUUGCAAGUAUUAACUAAUUGGUCCCUCCAGUUUCUUGGGAAUUCUACAACCACACUAGGACACGAGUUUGAGCCCAGCCUGACAGGUGCUGGAAAACAGGAAGAAGACACACACUGCCCAAUACAAGCAGAGACAAGAAGAAACCCAAGCAAGGAUUGUGAACGAAAAGCAUCUCCUAACUCAAAAUGUAGUCUGAAUAGUCACAUUUUACUAAGAGAGAGACUAACACUUUGGUUGAGAUUGUUAAGGGCUUCUUAAUAUCUGAAAGCAAGCAUUUUCAAUGUUUACAUGUUAUAUAAAAAUUAUGGGCAAUAAAGCAAGAAAAUGAAGUCAAGUUAAACAGGCCAGAAAGUGAAAAAUAAUCAGGCAAAAAUGUUUUUGCCUGAUUAUUUGCAUAUUACAUGACUGCAUCCCAAACCCCUAAAACUAUAAGUAUCAGCAAAGUUGCACAAUUUGAGAUCAUAUGCAAAAAUCAUUCACAUUUCAAUACACUAACAAGGAAAAUAUGGAAAGUAAAAGCACAAUACUAUUUACAAAUCCUUCAAGGAAAAUUAAAUUCUUAGAUAUACAUUGUAAAAGGUACUGAUCUGUAAGAUAAAAAUUUCAAAAUUCAGAUUAAAAAAAAUCAGUAACCUAAAUAGACACACCAUGUUCAUGGAUUGGAAGACUCAACAUAGUAAAGAUGUCAACAAAUUCAUAACAAGUAAACUAUAACCUUAUGUAGAAAUAAUUACACCAGGACAAAGCAUACAUAGGCAAGGCUAGUUUUAACAUAUUAAAAAAUCAGUCAUGGUAAUCUACCUCCAGAAUAGGCCCAGGCAGAAAAAUCACAUGAUCAUAUCAUUGUAUUCAAAUAAAAUUCUGGCAAAGUCUGACAACCAUUCACUCAUUUGAGGAAGGCAAUGUGUAAAUAAAGAUCAAAAUAAAAGAUGGUUAGAAGGGAACAGGAUGAUAAAUCUUUUGAAAAUAGGAAGGGACCCAAGAGACC
Chinchilla lanigera (long-tailed chinchilla) is the source of this 1593-nucleotide long non-coding RNA. RefSeq lists it as uncharacterized. Lineage: Eukaryota; Metazoa; Chordata; Mammalia; Rodentia; Chinchillidae. The record is from RefSeq and is a predicted model, not a curated record. The transcript is spliced from 5 exons.